UGAGACUUGGUCAUCAGUGGUUCUAAUAUGGUCAUCUGAUGCUAUGUACCAAAGCUAGAAAGGGUACUAGGGGCAAUCAAUAAACUUUUAUUAAGCAUCUAUGUGCUAAGCAUUGAGAAUACAAAAACAAAGACAGUUGCUGCCUUCAAGGAGCUCACAGUCUAGCAGGGUAAGACUCAUCUGGAAACUGAGAAGGCUAUGGAUAAUCAGUUGAUUUGCAGAUUUCAUCUAUUCCUUCUAUCGUGGUGGAUAGCCUUUUUCAUCAUGAGUUCCUUGAAGUUGUCCUGGAUCCUCGCCUUGUUGGUAAAUGUUAAAUCACUCACAGUUAAACAUU
Molecule: long non-coding RNA, 334 nt
Filed under: Monodelphis domestica (gray short-tailed opossum)
Lineage: Eukaryota; Metazoa; Chordata; Mammalia; Didelphimorphia; Didelphidae
Description: lncRNA (ENSMODG00000050009.1)
Source: RNAcentral